This 253-nucleotide ribosomal RNA is filed under the name uncultured bacterium. Its description in RNAcentral is "partial 16S ribosomal RNA". It matches the Rfam family "Bacterial small subunit ribosomal RNA", at positions 524 to 776 of the family's 1533-position model. The record is from RNAcentral.
UACAGAGGUCUCAAGCGUUGUUCGGAUUCAUUGGGCGUAAAGGGUGCGUAGGCGGCGCGGUAAGUCGGGUGUGAAAUCUCGGAGCUUAACUCCGAAACUGCAUUCGAUACUGCCGUGCUUGAGGACUGGAGAGGAGACUGGAAUUUACGGUGUAGCGGUGAAAUUCGUAGAUAUUAGGAAGAACACCAGUGGCGAAGGCGGCUCACUGGUCCGGUACUGACGCUGAGGUGCGAAAGCGUGGGGAGCAAACAGG